RNAcentral lists this ribosomal RNA (467 nucleotides) under uncultured bacterium. Its description in RNAcentral is "partial 16S ribosomal RNA". It matches the Rfam family "Bacterial small subunit ribosomal RNA", at positions 28 to 507 of the family's 1533-position model. The record is from RNAcentral.
GACGAACGCUGGCGGCGUGCUUAACACAUGCAAGUCGAACGAUGAUCAGGAGCUUGCUCCUGUGAUUAGUGGCGAACGGGUGAGUAACACGUGAGUAACCUGCCCCUGACUCUGGGAUAAGCGUUGGAAACGACGUCUAAUACUGGAUAUGAUCACUGGCCUCAUGGUCUGGUGGUGGAAAGAUUUUUUGGUUGGGGAUGGACUCGCGGCCUAUCAGCUUGUUGGUGAGGUAAUGGCUCACCAAGGCGACGACGGGUAGCCGGCCUGAGAGGGUGACCGGCCACACUGGGACUGAGACACGGCCCAGACUCCUACGGGAGGCAGCAGUGGGGAAUAUUGCACAAUGGGCGCAAGCCUGAUGCAGCAACGCCGCGUGAGGGAUGACGGCCUUCGGGUUGUAAACCUCUUUUAGUCGGGAAGAAGCGAAAGUGACGGUACCUGCAGAAAAAGCACCGGCUAACUACGUG